CAGCCGCCACGGUAACACGUAGGGUGCAAGCGUUAAUCGGAAUUACUGGGCGUAAAGCGUGCGCAGGCGGUUAUAUAAGACAGAUGUGAAAUCCCCGGGCUCAACCUGGGAACUGCAUUUGUGACUGUAUAGCUAGAGUACGGCAGAGGGGGAUGGAAUUCCGCGUGUAGCAGUGAAAUGCGUAGAUAUGCGGAGGAACACCGAUGGCGAAGGCAAUCCCCUGGGCCUGUACUGACGCUCAUGCACGAAAGCGUGGGGAGCAAACAGGAUUAGAUACCCCCGUAGUCCCUGUCUCUUAUAC
This 301-nucleotide ribosomal RNA is filed under the name uncultured bacterium. RNAcentral's name for it is "partial 16S ribosomal RNA". It matches the Rfam family "Bacterial small subunit ribosomal RNA", at positions 509 to 807 of the family's 1533-position model. The record is from RNAcentral.